This is a long non-coding RNA of Saccostrea cuccullata (small rock oyster), 925 nucleotides long. RefSeq lists it as uncharacterized. The transcript has 5 exons. The record is from RefSeq and is a predicted model, not a curated record. Lineage: Eukaryota; Metazoa; Mollusca; Bivalvia; Ostreida; Ostreidae.
AGCAUUAAUGGACACAUUGAAUCAGCCAGAAUCUUAGAGGGCCAACACUAGACUGACCAUCACAUAUAACAUGAAAAGCAGCCCAGCAGAUCCAAAGCAACCUAUAUACAAAAGUAGAGUACAUGAAAAACAUCAACACACAUGACUGUGACAGUGCUUUCUUUUGGUUGCCGUUUCAACCCAGUGAACAAAAGGCAGUGGAUGCAUUUGUACAGAAUUCAACAAAAACAGAUACACUGUAAUGAAAAGAGUGAGAAAAAAAAUCAACCAACAACUUCAAAGAAGACUACAGUAUCUACAACAACGACAAAAGCUACCACUGUGACUACAUCAGCCCCACCCCCACCUCCUGGGGGAAGGAAGAGUAGUUUAAGAUCAACGGGUCACCUGGAAAGGGGGGGGGGGGUAGAAGGCGUACAUGUUAAGCCCUACAUUGUCUAUAUAAAAGGUCUAUGUAUCUUCAUUCAUUAUGUAGAUUUCUAUUCAUUAUUCUUGUGGUUGUGUAAGAUUUUCACACACUUCAUGAUAGGGCUGGGCAAUAAUAUCGAUAUUUCAAUAUAUUGCAAUACAAUGACAAAAAAUAUCGUAUCGCAAUUACGAUUUUGUAAUAUCGAUAUAUUGGCAAUAUUUUUAGAUAAAGGAAUUUUGUCAUUAAAUAUAAAAAUGGACUUAUGAAAGUUUGUUAUUAAGCCAAACAGUAAGUCAGAAGUUGUUUUGUGGGAACAUUUCAGAGCAUAACUUAAAUGAAAUCAACAAGAUUUUUUUGUGUUGGUUACUUAUCAUAGUUAUGUACAUUCUGCAUGUAAAUUAAAGUAAAUAUAGUAAGAAAAUGCCAUUUUUAUUACAUUGAAAAUAUUGCAAUACAUAUCGCAAUACAGUUAAAAAUAUCGCAAUAUAUCGCAAUACGAAAUCUCGGGCCAAUACC